Molecule: ribosomal RNA, 468 nt
Filed under: uncultured bacterium
Lineage: Bacteria
Description: partial 16S ribosomal RNA
Rfam family: Bacterial small subunit ribosomal RNA
Source: RNAcentral
GACGAACGCUGGCGGCGUGCUUAACACAUGCAAGUCGAACGGAAAGGCCCUGCUUUUGUGGGGUGCUCGAGUGGCGAACGGGUGAGUAUCCCGUGAGUAACCUGCCCUUGACUUUGGGAUAACUUCAGGAAACUGGGGCUAAUACCGGAUAGGACCUCCUGCUGCAUGGUGUGGGUUGGAACGUUUCGGCGGUUGGGGAUGGACUCGCGGCUUAUCAGCUUGUGGGUGGGGUAGUGGCUUACCAAGGCUUUGACGGGUAGCCGGCCUGAGAGGGUGACCGGCCACAUUGGGACUGAGAUACGGCCCAGACUCCAACGGGAGGCAGCAGUGGGGAAUAUUGCGUAAUGGGCGGAAGCCUGAUGCAGCAACGCCGCGUGCGGGAUGACGGCCUUCGGGUUGUAGACCGCUAUCGCCUGGGACGAAGCGUGAGUGACGGUAAUGGGUAAAGAAGCACCGGCUAACUACGUG